CUCAUUAAAUCAGUUAUCGUUUAUUUGAUAGUACCUUACUACUUGGAUAACAGUGGUAAUUCUAGAGCUAAUACAUGCUUAAAACCCCGACUUCGGAAGGGGUGUAUUUAUUAGAUAAAAAACCAAUGCCCUUCGGGGCUCCUUGGUGAUUCAUGAUAACUUAACGAAUCGCAUGGCCUUGCGCCGGCGAUGGUUCAUUCAAAUUUCUGCCCUAUCAACUUUCGAUGGUAGGAUAGUGGCCUACCAUGGUAUCAACGGGUAACGGGGAAUUAGGGUUCUAUUCCGGAGAGGGAGCCUGAGAAACGGCUACCACAUCCAAGGAAGGCAGCAGGCGCGCAAAUUACCCAAUCCCGACACGGGGAGGUAGUGACAAUAAAUACUGAUACAGGGCUCUUUUGGGUCUUGUAAUUGGAAUGAGUACAAUUUAAAUACCUUAACGAGGAACAAUUGGAGGGCAAGUCUGGUGCCAGCAGCCGCGGUAAUUCCAGCUCCAAUAGCGUAUAUUAAAGUUGUUGCAGUUAAAAAGCUCGUAGUUGAACCUUGGGCCUGGCUGGCCGGUCCGCCUCACCGCGUGUACUGGUCCGGCCGGGCCUUUCCUUCUGGGGAUCCGCAUGCCCUUCGCUGGGUGUGCCGGGGAACCAGGACUUUUACUUUGAAAAAAUUAGAGUGUUCAAAGCAGGCCUUUGCUCGAAUACAUUAGCAUGGAAUAAUAGAAUAGGACGUGCGGUCCUAUUUUGUUGGUUUCUAGGACCGCCGUAAUGAUUAAUAGGGAUAGUCGGGGGCAUCAGUAUUCAAUUGUCAGAGGUGAAAUUCUUGGAUUUAUUGAAGACUAACUACUGCGAAAGCAUUUGCCAAGGAUGUUUUCAUUAAUCAGUGAACGAAAGUUAGGGGAUCGAAGACGAUCAGAUACCGUCGUAGUCUUAACCGUAAACUAUGCCGACUAGGGAUCGGGCGAUGUUAUCAUUUUGACUCGCUCGGCACCUUACGAG
Molecule: ribosomal RNA, 989 nt
Filed under: Holmiella junipericola
Lineage: Eukaryota; Fungi; Ascomycota; Dothideomycetes
Description: SSU rRNA
Rfam family: Eukaryotic small subunit ribosomal RNA
Source: RNAcentral